CCACGGGUGGCUGCAGUGAGGAAUAUUGCACAAUGGGGGGAACCCUGAUGCAGCAACGCCGCGUGGAGGAUGACGCAUUUCGGUGUGUAAACUCCUUUUAUAUGUCAAGAAAAUGACGGUAGCAUAUGAAUAAGCACCGGCUAACUCCGUGCCAGCAGCCGCGGUAAUACGGAGGGUGCAAGCGUUACUCGGAAUCACUGGGCGUAAAGGACGCGUAGGCGGGUUGGAAAGUCAGGUGUGAAAUCCUACAGCUUAACUGUAGAACUGCACUUGAAACUUCUAAUCUAGAGUAUGGGAGGGGGAGAUGGAAUUAGGGGUGUAGGGGUAAAAUCCGUAGAUAUCACUAGGAAUACCUAAAGCGAAGGCGAUCUCCUGGAACAUAACUGACGCUAAGGCGUGAAAGCGUGGGGAGCAAACAGGAUUAGAUACCCGCGUAGUC
RNAcentral lists this ribosomal RNA (439 nucleotides) under uncultured bacterium. RNAcentral describes it as "partial 16S ribosomal RNA". It matches the Rfam family "Bacterial small subunit ribosomal RNA", at positions 339 to 795 of the family's 1533-position model. The record is from RNAcentral.